UCUUGCAGGGGUGAGAGCACUCUCAUAUGUGUGCUGUCCAGGAGCACGUGCAGGCUGACCUGGAGAAGGACAGGCAGGAGGCCACCGAGGAAGGAGAAAGGAUGCUCUGGGAGACAGGGAAGGCUCUUGGGAAAACAGAGGACAGAGGACUCUUCCACCACGCCCACCAUAGGCUGUGUCUCCCACACUUCGCAGAGCCCCAUAUGACAAGCUGCAAUUGUCGUCCUGAUGGGAAGACGCUGGGCAGAACGAAGGGUGUGUUCUGCAGCCACAGGACCAGGCCGGCAGCUCCAGGUGGUGUCAGGUUGGCAGAGUGCCCCCUCCCUGUCUGGGCUCCAG
Molecule: long non-coding RNA, 339 nt
Filed under: Chinchilla lanigera (long-tailed chinchilla)
Lineage: Eukaryota; Metazoa; Chordata; Mammalia; Rodentia; Chinchillidae
Description: lncRNA (ENSCLAG00000028460.1)
Source: RNAcentral